CCUACGGGCGGCAGCAGUGAGGAAUAUUGGUCAAUGUGCGAGAGCCUGAACCAGCCAAGUCGCGUGAAGGAUGACGGCCCUACGGGUUGUAAACUUCUUUUGUCAGGGAGCAAUUGAGUCCACGUGUGGGCUUAGCGAGAGUACCUGAAGAAAAAGCAUCUGCUAACUCCGUGCCAGCCGCCGCGGUAAUACGGAGGAUGCGAGCGUAAUCCGGUGUUAUUGGGUUAAAGGGGUGCGUAAGCGGAAUAUAAAGUCAGCGGUAAAAAUUCGGGCCUCAACCCCGUCGUGCCGUUGAAACUGAUGUUCUUGAGUGGGCGAGAGGUAUGAGGAAUGCGUGGUGUAGCGGUGAAAUGCAUAGAUAUCACGCAGAACUCCGAUUGCGAAGGCAGCAUACCGGCGCCCAACUGACGCUGAAGCACGAAAGCGUGGGUAUCGAACAGGAUUAGAUACCCCUGUAGUC
Molecule: ribosomal RNA, 460 nt
Filed under: uncultured bacterium
Lineage: Bacteria
Description: partial 16S ribosomal RNA
Rfam family: Bacterial small subunit ribosomal RNA
Source: RNAcentral